This is a long non-coding RNA of Hippocampus zosterae (dwarf seahorse), 7000 nucleotides long. RefSeq lists it as uncharacterized. The transcript has 3 exons. The record is from RefSeq and is a predicted model, not a curated record. NCBI's taxonomy places the organism in Eukaryota, Metazoa, Chordata, Actinopteri, Syngnathiformes, Syngnathidae.
GGUGCGUGCAUGCGUACACGCUCCUUGUACGCGUGCAGACGUGCGUGGUCAGCAUUGUUCUUGUGGAGGGCAGCGAGGGGUGAUUUUUGAGACGUUUGAUGCAAAUGACUUGUGUGUCUGUGCGCGUGUGUGUACCCACGUUUCGAGGACAGAUUUCCGUUAGCCGUACGCGUGCUGCAUCUCAGUUAUUGGAGAUAGAAAAAAAAAUAAUGUAAACUAUGAAUAUCAUGUUAGAAAUGGGGUGAAAGCCUACCUGGUGGUUGAUUAUGUGUUUAAACAUGAAUGUGUGUGUGCAAGAGUGUCUGUUUGAUAGUGGCUUAUGUAUGUUCGAGUUUUUAUCGUCGUGACCGAGCACCAAGUUUCAAAACGUCUCACCGUGCACACAAAAGAGACCAAGGACAUUUUGGAUCCAUCCACAUCUUACCUAGUUCAGGAUGAGGGUUAAAGUUCUGCUGGUUUUCCAUGAAGAUAAAUACACAAAAUCCAGCUAAAAGCAGAAAUCAAUCAAGAAAUAAAAGCACACAUCUUUUUGUGGGUAUUAUUAUUUUUUAAAUGGUAGAAACCACCCCCUCCCCCAGAUGAAUUAUAACCCAGGCGUGUGACCGGAAAGUUGUCUCAUCCAAAAGUUUCUCUUGAUUGUGCUGUUCCACCGGCUCACUGCGAGGGGAGCUCAUGCUCUUUUCCACAAAAGGUGGCAGGCUUCUGGCCCAAGGCGAGAUGGCUGCUAAUGAUCUUCAGAUAUCCACUCCACAGAAUCAGCUUCUGUUGGGAAAAAUGGGUCCCCGGAGCGAUUCCAGAGCCCCCCCCCCACCCCCACCCCAACCUUUUCAUGCCGCAUGAGACGGCAUUAUAUUUACAGCAGAGUAAAUACAUUCUGUGAUUAUUGUUUGGCCUCUCUCCAGCUGAAAAAUCUCCGCUGCCUCUUCUCGUCGCAGUGCCACGUUCGAUUUGGUGGCCUUUUUCAUUUGCAAACUGCCGUAAUCAUGUUCACAGACUUCCGCGUGUCAGGAAAAUGCCAGCGUUGGCUUCGAGCUGUAUUUGCGUCGUGGUUUUUCGAUGACCCAGCGUAGAUGGUUUCUUUCAAAAAAAUGUUGUCAUGGCUGGUCAGUGGUGAUUUUGCAUCAGGGUGUUGACGUUUAAAACUGAGAUUAAAGCUGUUGAUCCCUUGUGCCCGCAUUUCCCUGGCAAACCGUGGAAAUAAUCAUCAAACUCUGACACUCAUUUGGGCCAAUUCCCUAGUUUUCCCAAUUUUGUGUCAAACGCUCACAUUUCAUAUGGCCAAUUGAUGAGUUUGAUAACUCUUCAUUGAUCCAAAGAAUAAUUCAGGCUCAAAGCAGCGAUAAACAGGCCAGUAAAAUCAUUUUCCAUGUCAAAUCCUCAAAAAACUGUCAUAUUUUGACGCCAUGCCUGCUUCCAAUUUAGCCAAAUUCUCUCAAACGGGGACUCUAAAAAAUUUUACGCCAAGUAGUACCUCGACAAAAAAUACUAGCUCCCCAGGUUUCACAAACAUCCAAAGACGUUAGCAUCGUAAGCGCUCAUCAAGAGGUUUUAUUCAUAAAAGGUUCAUUUAAUUUUAUAGCAAGUCACUGAAACAUGAUUUGGCAUAGUUUGUGCUUAAAUAUGGUAUAAUAAAAAACUGUCCAUCGUGAUCCAAUGAAAAGGUAUUGCACAUCAUUCAUGCAUUGCUAAUGUAUCGCACUUCAAAGUUAAAUAUAAGUGAACUUUUUUUUUUUUCACCAAACUUUGCGGUGGCCACUAUUUAUUUCUUGUUUUUUUUUCUUCUGUAUUGAAGUUUUGGGGCAUCAUAAUUGGAACCAUUUGCGUUGCCUAAAUUUUACACAUGCUUGCAAAAAUUGCCGAGUUUUCCCGCACUUGAGUGAGAUUCUUCUCUUGAAAGGAUUGCAGCAAGAAAAAAAAAACAAUUCCAAGAAGGUCUUUGCACUGCACUGUUGAGCCCCCUUAUAAUUCCUUUCGAUGCUGGACUGUCGUCAAAUAAAAAUUGUUUUGCAGCUGCAUCGGACCGGAAGGCUGCCUUUGGCCCUCUGGGAAAAAAUAUUUGAGACAAAACAACACGCAAUAACAUGAAACCACUGAAAAAAAAAGCUGCUGAGUCAAUGAAGCCAUGUCACCUAAAGUUUAGCCCGCCAUUACUCAUGCACUGUCCUAAUUUUGAGUUUUUUUUUUUUGGUCAUGCAAAAAACAUAAUUCACUAACAUAAUUCAUUUGAGGAAUUACGAGUGACUUGAACGGACAUUGAUGACAAGUCAGCCGACGGCUCUUAAGGCUCAACCGUACCGUAAAAGGGCAUCUAUUCGGAGCUUUAUUCAGAAAAUGAAUCACUCAAAAUACAAAAAAAAAAAACUUUGCGGAUUUAAUCAUAUCAUGAUCAGCAAGAGGGCGUGACAGAAAAACUUCACUUGAACCAAAGAUGUGGCCGCCGUCUGAAUUAUUUUACUGUGUGAAGAAUCUCCGUCUGGUCGUUGGUAAUUGCAGCUAGCUGUGCGCGGCUUUCAAGUCAAAAGGCGGUUUAAAAAAAAACCCAAAGUCGACGCCGAGCCUUUUGGGAGCCCUGCCAGGCGCGGGAAGUUAUCACCAUCGGGACGUUUUAUUUUUAUAAAUUUUUCGAGACUUCCACGCUGCACAAUUGCUCCACUGACGAGUCAGAUGUGUCUCAUGCUCUCUCGUUUUCUCUCUCUCUCUCCGUCUUUGGCUUUCUUCAGUUAUAUCCUUGUAGUCCCUUCAAAGUAGGCAAUGCCACUUCAAGAACAGCAGUUGCCCCCAAAGCCCCGAAAUGAACAAUGAGCUUGCAAACGAAAUAGUUGCAUUUCGUUACGUACUCCGUCAAAGGACAUCCAUCUUCAAGCUGUUGUCGGGCAUGUAGGGCACCUCCACAAGGGGAAAAAAAAAAUUCCCAUGUACAGCAGCAAUGGGUUCAGUCUUUAUCGCAUUAAGGAGCAAUUUCUGGUGUCUGAUCCAUUUUUAUUUUAUUUUAUUUUAUUUUGGCGGUCCGGUAGUCCAGUGGUUAGCACGUCGGCUUCACAGUGCACAGGUACCAGGUUCGAUUCCAGCUCCGGCCUCCCUGUGUGGAGUUUGCAUGUUCUCCCCGGGGGCCUAUGUGGGUUUUCUCCGGGUGCUCCGGUCUCCUCCCACAUUCCAAAAACAUGCGUGACAGGCUGAUUGAACACUCUAAAUUGUCCCUAGGUGUGAGUGUGAGUGCGAAUGGUUGUUCGUUUCUGUGUGCCCUGCGAUUGGCUGGCAACCGAUUCAGGGUGUCCCCCGCCUACUGCCCGAAGACGGCUGGGAUAGGCUCCAGCACCCCCCGCGACCCUAGUGAGGAUCAAGCGGCUCGGAAAAUGAAUGAAUGAAUGAAUAUUUUAUUUUUAGGGGCAUUUUGUUACAGUGCAGCAUCGGGAUAUGUGAGCACGUUGAACCCUAAAAUGAUGAAACUCAUGACGGCAUGCUAUGGCAACACCCCGUUUUAAACUGUGCAGAAUUGGCCAACCAAUCAAGAUGAAUGAUAAUGUUGAUUCAAUUGACGCCAAACAUACAUCGAUUGUGAUCAGGCUGCCAGCGGUCAUCCGAUAUGGAACACGAGAUUUCAGUGUUUAGGUUGAGCCUUUUCCGUGACUCAUUGCGUAGCUCAUCGUCGCAAUCAGAAUUUCAAAUCUAGGAAGACUAAGGAGGUUGUAAUUUGGCCUUGAUUAUGCGGAUGAUUUAGUGAGAUCAACACACUUGCCAAUUAAUUAGGGAUGUAAAAAUAACGCCAUUAAUCCUGCCUUCAAGAGGCUUUUAAUCUUUUUUAGUAUUAUUAUUUUUCUUACCCGUUUAAUGAAAUGUUUCCAGAGAGGUAUGCAAUUAUUUCAAUUCUUACUUUGGGAAGAGGGGGGGUGAGCUUGAAAUGAAUUCUAAGGAUUACAGCGAUGAUGUACUUACUUACCCUCAAGAGAAAUAUCCUGACCUUCGUCGGAGUCGCUCUUCGCAGCUUUAAACAUCUGCGUAUUAAUACGGUAUUUUGCACAAUCUCUCGUAACUCCUCACAGAUUAAAAAUAACAGUCCGCAACUGUUAAACGAAAAAUAAGAUAUCCGCAGGCGGAGAACUCAAAAUGGUCUUCGCGCGCCGCCGAUAAAUCGCGAUCUGUCGCAGCUCGCGCACAGGUGAGCCCAAACCAACGACUUGGGAGACACAAAUGGGAACGUGGGGGGGGGGGGGGAUUUAUUGUCACCCUGAAGAGGCGCUGAUGUUUGCGGGCGACGAGAGAGGAAAAGGCCGUAACCUGUCGCACCGCUGCAUUGAUGACAUCACCGAGCAAUCAUGUAGCACUAGCGUGCGCACCUUUAUGGAAUUUGUCAUUGACGUGAGCAUUUCUCACGAGCGCAUUUGGAUGUGAACGUUGGAGCUCGGUCACCGCAUCUCGUCAGAUCCAAACGGUGGGCAACAUUGAGUGGAUCGCCGCUAAUGCACACUUGUGGUCAGCAGGGUGUUACUUCCUGGCCUGUUGCUAUGGUGAUAGCGACUCCACUUGCUUCACAUCUCCUCAUUGCUUUUAACAUAAUUGUUUGCUGUAUAUCUGCCUUCAGGAAUAAAUAGUGGGGGUGGGAGGUGGGGGUGGGACUUCACCAUGUCGACUCUUCUGUGUCUUCUUUCUCUUGAUUUUUCAUGUAAAUGAAAACACUCGCGUUGGGAAGGCAAAUAUUACCCGAGGGCUCCGGGUGAGGAACGUUAUUAAAAGCUAAAAAAUAAAAAAAUUAACUUAGAGUUGUUGAUUUGUUCUCGUUGGUUCCAUCGUGCCCUUACCAUAAUUAAACUUGUGAGAAAAAACAAAAAAAACAUCUCGUUGAUGAAAUUAUUUGAAGACUAAUUUGGUUUUCUGAUAUCAACUGGAAAAAAAAACUUGAUAGCGUUGAUACUUAAAUUGAUCGUAGAUUGUCACAUUAUUAUGGUCAAUUUAUUUUGAAAAAAAACAACGGAAUAAAUUUCGGACAAUACGUCGAAAAUAUGACUAAGUGGUAAAAGUUUGGAGGUCAACCAAAAAUAUGUAUUGGAAAAUUAUGCCUCAGAUGUCAAAUAAAACCUACUUUCAGCCAUCAAUAACCUGAGAUAGUCAGCAAAUGUAACGAGACAAGCAUCUCCAGACAAGACAAAUGAAUUUACCUUAUAUGACUGGAAUUAUUUUUAUUUCGCAUUAAACUAAUGUCACAAAAAAAUAUGAAAUUUCCAUUGAUACUUCGUGUUUUUAAAAAAAUAUAUUGUCAAAUCUAGUGUAAGUGCCCAAAGUGGGAGUGACCGCACAGUUCUUGAAUCUCAUUUCUAGCAUCCCAAGUGUGCGAGUCGAGCCCCCCCACCCCCCCACGCCCCCACACCCAAAAGCAUGCACGUUGAGGUUACCCGAAGAAGCCGCCCUGAGUGUCAAUGCUUGUUUGUCUGCGCACCCCGCGAUCGAGUGGAAACGAGUCCAGGGUGCACCCGAGAUGGACUCCAGCUCACACAUGACCCGAAUGAGGACAAGCAAAAUGUGUUCCGUCUACAUAAUUUAAAAACCGAAUGCUAAAAGUUGGUUUACUUACAGCAAUGACCCCAAGGUCAUCUGUCAGCUUGGUUUCUGUAAGCGGAAAAAAAAAAAAAAAAAAAAAGGAUCCGGCAUUGAAUAUUUAGCGAUAGAACUUGAGGCCGAGGGAUGGAGAAAAUGCAGAAUUCAAUGAAUUAUAAAUGCAGUGCAGCAAAUUUACGAGGCGGGUUUGGGAAUUAAUGCAAGAUUAUCAAAAAAACAUUGAAGUCGCGAUGAGCCCUUAAUUCAAAACGGCCCCCUGCUGAACUCCAUUUUCUGUCCUUGAAAAUUCUUAGCGCUAAUGUUUGAGCGCCACGCGGGGAAUAUGAUUUGCGACGGCUACGACCGUCCUAAGUCAUGUUUUGCCCGCUCCUCAAUGCACUUUCGUUCAUACCGGUCGGCGCGUGUUGUUGUGAUUUGAUCAUUCCGACAAGAAUUUGUCUCUCUGUUCCGAGGUUUCGGCAGCUAGCGGAGACUAAGUGCUGCAGCUGGUUGUGCCCUGGAUAAAGUGUCAUAAAAAUAGACGCCCUAAUGGUAAAAAUGCAUCAUCAUGCAGUUUCACAGCCUCUUAGGGAAAUGUGGAAAAAAGAAAAAACAAAACAACAACUCUUGAAUAAAUGAACAUAUUUCAACAAAAACUCAGAGCACAGCAGUGUUGGAUUAGCGAGUUGAGAUUGCAAAGCGUGAGGAAGAUGGUGUCGACAUUAUCAUGCUAAUGCCAGCUGUACUUGACUGCCUUGGUUCUACUUCAAAGGAAAAUAAAACCCCUGCAAUUUGCACUGCUGUGAGCGGCAAAAAAAGUGUCAGGAGGAAAUGCCACUUACGCCCCCCCCCCACCCCCCGCCUCCAAAAUGUUUAUGAAUACCUGUGUAAAUAGUUUCAACAAUUUUAUUAUUUCAGUGUCACCUCGCAUGAGCCUUCAUUUUUUUUUCUUAACAUUUUCAAAAUCUACGUCCCAACCCUCAUCUAUGGUCACGAGCUAUGGGUCGUGACCGAAAGAACGAGAUCCCGGAUACAAGCGGCUGAAAUGAGUUUUCUCCGCAGGGUGUCCGGGCUCUCCCUUAGAGAUAAGGUGAGAAGCUCGGUCAUCCGGGAGGGGCUCAGAGUCGAGCCGCUUCUCCUCCACAUCGAGAGGAGCCAGAUGAGGUGGCUUGGGCAUCUGAUUCGGAUGCCUCCUGAACGCCUCCCUGGUGAGGUGUUCCGGGCAUGUCCCACCGGGAGGAGACCCCGAGGAAGACCCAGGACACGCUGGAGAGACUAUGUCACCCAGCUGGCCUGGGAACGCCUCGGGAUCCCCCGGGGAGAGCUGGAAGAAGUAGCUAGGGAGAGGGAAGUCUGGGCUUCCCUGCUAAAGCUGUUGCCCCCGCGACCCGGCCGCGGAUAAGCGGUAGAAGAUGGAUGGAUGGAUGGAUGAAACGAAUGAUGAACUGCCGCCCGCCCCAGUUCACCUCAU